GAUGAACGCUGGCGGCGUGCCUAAUACAUGCAAGUCGAACGAAACUUCUUUAUCACCGAGUGCUUGCACUCACCGAUAAAGAGUUGAGUGGCGAACGGGUGAGUAACACGUGGGCAACCUGCCCAAAAGAGGGGGAUAACACUUGGAAACAGGUGCUAAUACCGCAUAACCAUAGUUACCGCAUGGUAACUAUGUAAAAGGUGGCUAUGCUACCGCUUUUGGAUGGGCCCGCGGCGCAUUAGCUAGUUGGUGAGGUAAAGGCUUACCAAGGCAAUGAUGCGUAGCCGAACUGAGAGGUUGAUCGGCCACAUUGGGACUGAGACACGGCCCAAACUCCUACGGGAGGCAGCAGUAGGGAAUCUUCCACAAUGGGCGAAAGCCUGAUGGAGCAACGCCGCGUGGGUGAAGAAGGUCUUCGGAUCGUAAAACCCUGUUGUUAGAGAAGAAAGUGCGUGAGAGUAACUGUUCACGUUUCGACGGUAUCUAACCAGAAAGCCACGGCUAACUACGUGCCAGCCGCCGCCGUAACAC
RNAcentral lists this ribosomal RNA (531 nucleotides) under uncultured bacterium. RNAcentral describes it as "bacterial SSU rRNA". It matches the Rfam family "Bacterial small subunit ribosomal RNA", at positions 28 to 526 of the family's 1533-position model. The record is from RNAcentral.